This 558-nucleotide ribosomal RNA is filed under the name Pichia kluyveri. Its description in RNAcentral is "eukaryotic LSU rRNA". It matches the Rfam family "Eukaryotic large subunit ribosomal RNA", at positions 72 to 648 of the family's 3401-position model. Lineage: Eukaryota; Fungi; Ascomycota; Pichiomycetes; Pichiales; Pichiaceae. The record is from RNAcentral.
GGAUUGCCUCAGUAGCGGCGAGUGAAGCGGCAAGAGCUCAGAUUUGAAAUCUCACCUAGUGUGCGAGUUGUAAAUUGCAGGUUGGAGUCUCGGGUUAGACGUGUGUGCAAGUCCCUUGGAACAGGGUGCCACUGAGGGUGAGAGCCCCGUAGCGUGCAUGUCGACACCUGUGAGGCCCUUCUGACGAGUCGAGUUGUUUGGGAAUGCAGCUCUAAGUGGGUGGUAAAUUCCAUCUAAGGCUAAAUAUUGGCGAGAGACCGAUAGCGAACAAGUACUGUGAAGGAAAGAUGAAAAGCACUUUGAAAAGAGAGUGAAACAGCACGUGAAAUUGUUGAAAGGGAAGGGUAUUGGGCUCGACAUGGGAUUUACGCAUCGUUGCCUCUCGUGGGCGGCGCUCUGGGUUUUUCCUGGGCCAGCAUCGGUUUUCGUUGCAGGACAAGGACAAUUGGAAUGUGGCUCCUCGGAGUGUUAUAGCCUUUUGUAGAUGCUGCGUAUGGGGACCGAGGGCUGCGGCGGACUCGUUUCGUCUCGGAUGCUGGCACAACGGCGCAAUACCGC